GUGGGGAAUCUUGCGCAAUGUACGAAAGCCUGACGCAGCCAUGCCGCGUGAAUGAUGAAGGUCUUAGGAUUGUAAAAUUCUUUCACCGGGGACGAUAAUGACGGUACCCGGAGAAGAAGCCCCGGCUAACUUCGUGCCAGCAGCCGCGGUAAUACGAAGGGGGCUAGCGUUGCUCGGAAUUACUGGGCGGAAAGGGCGGGUAGGCGGAUCGUUAAGUCAGGGGUGAAAUCCCAGAGCUCAACUCUGGAACUGCCCUGGAGGCUGGCGAUCUUGGGUGUGAGAGAGGUAGGUGGAACUCCGAGUGUAGAGGUGAAAUUCGUAGAUAUUCGGAAGAACACCAGUGGCGAAGGCGACAUACUGGCUCAUUACUGACGCUGAGGCGCGAAAGCGUGGGGAGCAAACAGGAUUAGAAACCCCGGUAGUCC
RNAcentral lists this ribosomal RNA (425 nucleotides) under uncultured bacterium. RNAcentral's name for it is "partial 16S ribosomal RNA". It matches the Rfam family "Bacterial small subunit ribosomal RNA", at positions 354 to 796 of the family's 1533-position model. The record is from RNAcentral.